Molecule: long non-coding RNA, 5101 nt
Filed under: Sus scrofa (pig)
Lineage: Eukaryota; Metazoa; Chordata; Mammalia; Artiodactyla; Suidae
Description: lncRNA (ENSSSCG00060003661.1)
Source: RNAcentral
UUUUUUUUUUUUUCUAUUUAGGGCUGCACCUGCGGCACAUGGAGGUUCCCAGGCUAAGGGCUGAAUCGGAGCUGCAGCUGCUGACCUACACCACUGCCACAGUAACACCAGAUCUGAGCCUCGUCUUCGACCUACACCACAGCUCACAGCAACGCCAGAUCCUUAACCCACUGAGCAAGGCCAGGGAUCGAACCUACGACCUCAUGCAUGUUGGUCAGGUUUGUUACCUCUGCGCUGCCACAGGAACUCCCAAGAGGACAUGGGUUUGAGUCCAGCACUGCCAUUUAGGGGCCGUUGAUCAUGGUGAAUUCAGUCGCCCUCUCUGGGCCCCAAGUUCCUCCUCCAUAAAUGGAGAAUACGCAUUAAUUUUCACAGUAUGAAAAAAAUCUAAACUUUUCAAAAUCGGGUUAGCAAUGUAAUUAUUUUUUACAAAGAAAAUGUUUCCCUUAUUCCUUUAGGGUAAUUACAUAUUACAUGAUUGGCAAAUAAUUUGCCAAAAAAAAUACUGAAAAGAAGAAUCAGAGACAAAAGCAUUUAAAAAAUAAGUCAUUUACCUGCAAAAAAAAGUUUCACAAGGGAGUCUAAAUUUUAGAACAGUGGUCCUCAUCUUUGGGUGUAUAUUAGAAUUUCUUGGGAAAUUUUUAAAAUUCUUAUUGCCCUGCCUACCUGGACCAGCUAAACCAUAAUUUCAGAGGGGUAGAACACACAAACAAAUAGUUUUUGAAAUCCCCUACAUGGGAAUGUAAAUUGAUACAACCAACACGGAAAACAGCAUGGAGCUACUUCAGGGAAAUAAAUAUAGAACUACCAUAUGACUCAGCAAUCCCACUCCUGGACAUGUAUCCGGACAAAGCUUUCCUUGAAAAAGACAUGUGCACCCAUAUGUUCAUUGCAGCACUCUUCACAAUAGCCAAGACAUGGAAACAACCUAAAUGUUCAUUGACAGAUGAAUGGAUUAAGAAGACGUGGCAUAUACACACAAUGGAAUACUACUCGGCCAUAAAAAAGAACAAAAUAAUGCCAUUUGCAGCAACAUGGAUGGUACUAGAGAGUCUCUACUAAAUGAAGUAAGUCAGAAAGAGAAAGACAAAUACCAUAUGAUAUCACUUAUAUCUGGAAUCUAAUACUUGGCACACAUGAACUUUUCCACAGAAAAGAAAAUCAUGGACUCAGAGAACAGACUUGUGGUUGCCUAGGGGGAGGGGAAGGGAAUGGGAUGGACUGGGAAUCUGGGGUUAAUAGAUGCAAACUAUGGCAUUUGGAGUGGGCAAGCAAUGAGGUCCUGCUGUACCGCACAGGGAACUAUAGUCACUUGUGGUGGAGCAGGAAGGAGGAUAAUGUGGAAAAAGAAUGUACAUAUAUGUGUGACUGGGUCGCUUUGCUGUACAGUCAAAAUUGACAGAACACUGUAAAUCAACUAUAAUGGAAAAAAUAAAAAUCCUAAAAAAACCUCCCCACAUGAUUCCAGUGUGAACCCUGACUGGGAAUCAGAGUUCCAGAAGGAGUGCUCUCACCAAAUCAAAAAAUAUUCAAAACCACAGGUAUGUAAAGAAAAAACACAGAUGGCAGGUUAUUCACUCCUGCUGAGAAAAGAGCAGUUUUCACAAAGGACUAGCCGACGUGCAGAGUUACAGACAGAUAUCAGCCAUUGUCAAGGUCUGGAUAAGGCUGUUUGGCAAGGAAUUAGGGAGUUCCAGCACCUGGCUUAAGAUCUCAUUUAGUGGGGACUAGAUGGCGACAGGGGGACCCUGAUAAUGCUCAUGGCAGUCUGCUCCCCCCGUCCCCGGCCUGUUCCGGGGGAAAUACAUACUUACAAAGCAGAGCAAGAGGUCAGCUUUACUUUUUCAUAAGGAAAUAGGUGACGCUCAUAUUUAAUGUCCCUCUCAACUUCAAAACCACUCCCAAGAAGUGACCACCGAUAUUGUAGAUGUAAUGCUGUGCUUAUACAGAUUACACACACACACACACACCACACUACAACACAGGCAUACACAUAACACUUGCACACACAAGCCUACACACACACACACACACACACACACACACACUUGGGACUUUCACUGAGCACUUUAUUGUGGCCUUCCUCCCGUGUCAGGACAUCAGAUUUAUCUCAUUUUUAACAGAUGCAUAGUUCUCUUGUCCUGUAUAUAAUGGAUUAUUUGGAUAUUCAAAUAAUCAAUUUACAAUUGUUAGUAAAAUCUUCCCUCACUUUUUCCAUUUCAUAUAAUACUGCAAUAAACUCACUUGUUUGUUUUUUUGUUUGUUUGUUUGUUUUUUUGUCCUUUUUGCUAUUUCUUGGGCCGCUCCCGAGGCAUAUAGAGGUUCCCAGGUCGAAUCGGAGCUGUAACCACCGGCCUACGCCAGAGCCACAGCAACGCGGGAUCCGAGCGGCGUCUGCAACCUACACCACAGCUCACGGCAACGCCAGAUCGUUAACCCACUGAGCAAGGGCAGGGACCGAACCCACAACCUCAUGGUUCCUAGUCGGAUUAGUUAACCACUGCUCCAAGAUGGGAACUCCCCACUUGUUUGUUGAUCGUUAGCUUUUUAGCAAACACAGUUCGAGGAGAGAGUCCUCGAGGUGUGAGCGCUAUGUUCAAAAGCAGACACUGUCCAAUCGCCCUCCAAAUGCCUGCAGCCAAUGACAUUUCUCCAAAUAAUACAAAGCGCCUGUUUCCCACACUCUCUUCAAGGCUGGUCUUUCUGUUUUUUACUGGCUCACUUAGGGGGUGUGUACAAGGCUCUGCGAAUAACGAAAUGCAGUUCCGAGGCGAGGUAUUCCGACCAGUGACUUGGCUGAAAGGACCCGCAUCAAAAGUAGCUGCCAGCCUCUGAGGCCAGCACAGUCAGACAGAGGCUUCUGUUCUGUGUCAGGUUGUUUUCUGUAAAUACUGCUUUCGGGCUUAGAACCUAAUUUCUUAGGCCAUGAUGUCAGUCUUCCAGGGUAACAGGGCUGUAAAUAAGGAGUGAGAGGGAGGGACCCUCUGGCAGAGGCAGCUGUCCUUAUCCUCAGAGCUUUUCUGCAAAAGAACUGCCCAGCACAGCAGACAGGCCCACUGGGGCCACCUGCAACGGUAGUUUGCGUGCACCCGGCAGGGAGAGCUCUGGGAGGGCGUCCCAUCUGCUCUGUCUUCAGUCUUUAUUCCAUCUCCUUUCCAGGACCUCCGAGACGUCUCACUUUCACCAUUCAUUCGGGGCGCUGGGAGGCGGAGGCCUCAGCAUUUCCUAACUUAUUUUUUUAUGAAGCACUCGCCUCACCCAGUAGACUGAGAGUGUGCUCCCCGUUGACCUCGGCUCAGAAAGAAGGGAAGUCCGAUGCUAAGUUCCUCUUCCUCUACCACGGGCUCCACGCACCCCAAGACCCCCCGGGAGGUGCCGAUCCUCCUUCGGAACCGGAGCACAAGGACCGUCUUUCAUGCUCUUUUCUUGGUAGAACCUGACCUGUUGCAGAGCCAAGCACCCCGCCUCUGUCUUGGGCACGCGACAGUCAGCCCUCGGGAACUUAGGUCCAGCCCAGUAAUGGACUUGUUGGCAUCCCCUCAUCUCCCAGUUAUGAAUUCCUUGGGUCCCGUGUGUCUCUACGUUCCAGUUGGUAGCACCGAACGAGUCUGCUGAAUGGAUUUUCCCUUAGUUUGAAUCCCUGCCUGGUUUGGCCAUAAGAAAACAAAUACCAUUCACAGGGUGUGUGACAUAGACGCUGGUGCUCCCCAAUUAUUCCAUGAGAUCCUGCAUAUUUUCCAGCCUUCCUGGCACUUAGCAUGGGGCCAGGUGACGAAUUCAAGUUCACGGGCACAAGGGGGAGUGAAGCAAUGCACAGCAUUUGCCACCCGAGGACACCGAGGAGGUUGAAAGCUGCACGCAUCUGCCGCGGUGGCUGGAAGCGAAGAACACUGAGACGGCGAAGGGGCCACAGAGAGCAUCUCUAAUGCGCACCACUGCUGAAAGGCGGCCACCAGAGAGGACGGGCUGAGCUGUAUCGGACUGCUCCGAAAGUGACAAAUAAGCCUCUGGCUUUGGAGGUUUGCUGCCACAGCAAAACUUAGCUUUACCCUGACCAACCACGGGUGAGUUUCACAAGCUGAAAGUGUAAGGAGGAGACAAGCUUGUGGAAUAUGACAGCAUCACUGGCUAGCAACAUCUUCUGAUAUCCUGGAAUUAGUCGGGAUGGGCCAUGGAUCUGGAUCUGAAACUUUUAAAUCGAAAUGGGGACAAGAGCAUCCCUAUGACGUCAUUGGAGAAUCUGAGGCAUAGAGAAGCGAAGGGAUGGGCUUCUCGGAUUAGGAGUGAGCGAAGCAUGAGAAGAGAGACCUCAAUUUCCCCUGGGCUGUUUCCCACCCUUCCUAGUUGGGAUUUCUCCUCCCCCAGCAUUUGUGCCCUUUGGGUUAGUAUUCUAGGCAUGAGACUGACCUAUUUCGAAGUGGGACAGGUUGGCAUCUCUAAAGCGGGUUCCACAGAAGACUCUGUUUUGAAGCAACAUGGUGGUAAAGAGGUUAACAUUGAAUGGGAGUUUUACUUCCAGGCAGGGAUCUCGAGCCCUGGCGGAAAGACUGCAGCUGCCCUGUGGCCCAGAUAAUGCAACAUCGGGCUGAGCAAGGACAUCUGAGAACAUUCUGUUCUCCUCCCCCGAGACCAAUUAAAAUCUGGAGGCAUCUUUCUUGUUGAUCGAGCUGACUAACUAAUUGAAACGGAAUUGUGAUAUUUUCAUCAGCUUUCUCUUAUCCCUCUUGGCCUUGCCAGCAGAGAGCAAGCUGAAUGAUCAGAGAGUUUCAAGCAUGUGAGGCCCAGGGAACGGAACCCCUCCCACCGUAAACCACUACAUUACCACGGAACAAGGUUCGAAAAAGGAUGAUGCGGGGUUGGGAGUAGGGCGAUACGCUCAAAUCUCAGUCUCAGUUCAUCCAGAUACCAAAGAUACCAUCUUCGGGAUUCCUGAUGAACCAUAAAGCUGUCCUUCAGCAGUUGCUGCUCCAAUAAACCAGCUUCUGACCUCUGCCUUCCUAACGAACAUCCCUCUGCCUGACUGGGGAAGCUCCUAGAAACAAAGAACCAAACGCCUCUGAGGCCCAACAAGAUCCCUUUCCUUCCAUUGAGCUAGAAUGUA